GUCUAUGGCCAAGCUACCCUGAACGCGCCUGAUCUCGUCUGAUCUCAGAAGCUAAGCAGGGCCGGGCCUGGUUAGUACUUGGAUGGGAGUCUUCCUAGUGUAAGAAAUGGUAAGUGUACAUA
Molecule: ribosomal RNA, 122 nt
Filed under: Cavia porcellus (domestic guinea pig)
Lineage: Eukaryota; Metazoa; Chordata; Mammalia; Rodentia; Caviidae
Source: RNAcentral